GCCAUUUUGUGAGGGUCAUUCAUUCGCGGUUCAAUCAGUUAUGGGGUGAUUCUUGAAUGAUGUCUGUGUCUGUGCAACCAGAGUCGGUUUAUUGUGUGUAUUUAAAUUGUGAUGAAAGUCAGCAUUUGAUCGUCGUUAUUCGCGGACGCACAAAACAACUUUGAACACACACAUCACAAGAAACGUGUCGUCCUAACAUUAAAACUGGUUGUGGACGCCAUGCUUUCCUGAGAGGGUCCUUCGCGGCAGUUUGGUCGGUUAACGAUCUGAUCUCAUCAUCAUCCAGUCUGUCUGGAAUGACAUGAAGAAACAGAACGAGACAGAAUAAAUCCAGAAGAUCUGUGGCAACGUCUUUAAGAUGCUUCAAGAGACCUACCUGCGGAGCUACAGUUUAUCACCUAAGCCUCCUUGGAGGCAAAACACCUGGAGAUGCCAUCCGGAUGGUGUUGCGAACAGUUGGAACAAACAGUGUUUGGUGUCAAUACAGCAUUAAAGGAAGGAAUGGGGGAAGAGCUGGACAUUGCGGCAUGAUCAUUCAGGCUUGCCAAAAGAUGCAUCCAAAAGUGCCAGUUAAGGUGUUAGAAGAGUUCAUCUUGAAGUAUGCUCCCCAUCGUGAGUCAAGGAUGGAGUGUGAAGAGACAGGCCAUGGACCACAGUUCCCGCAGUGAUAGUUUUUCAGCACCCACACACAAUUCAGAAGUUCUCACUGAUUAAAUGUUAAUAUGAUAGUUUACGUUUACCUGUGAAGUUGUCCUUGUCAUGAAUAUUAAACUAAAUGUAAAACUUUUUUUACAUGAUAGGCAAUUUUCACUAAUCUGUUUAAUCUGUUAAUGAGGUUUUUUUUUUGAAAGUGUGCAUCUUUAUUAAUUAAAAUACCUGAAAUGCCUGCAAUGUGCUUGUAUCUGGAAUGUUGUAAUAAUGAUGUUGAAAGAUGAUGUUGCAACACUGCUAAUCUUAAAAUAACAUUUUAUUAAACUAUACUUUGUAAAGUUCCAAAUAAUUGUUUUUAGAACUUUGUAUUUUUAGUAAAAUGUGGGUAAUGUUGUAGGAAUGUUAUGCUCACAAUAAAAUAACGUUCUAGUAACGUUAAGCAAACUG
This is a long non-coding RNA of Labeo rohita (rohu), 1098 nucleotides long. RefSeq lists it as uncharacterized. The transcript is spliced from 6 exons. Lineage: Eukaryota; Metazoa; Chordata; Actinopteri; Cypriniformes; Cyprinidae. The record is from RefSeq and is a predicted model, not a curated record.